UCACUGUUCAUACUACUCCAUACACCGGUGAGCUCCCUGCCGACCAGAGCUCGCCGCGGCAGCAACUGAGAUUCUUCCCCAGAGGCAGAUCAACUUCAAGAUUGGGUAAUUUCCUGCCCCUUGCCAUCGUCUAUUUCCUUCCCCCUCGCCAAGGAAGGCGGUCGUGUUCUUCCCCGAUUCACAGAUGUCUAAUUGUUGAUCUUUCUUUGAAGUAAUGGCAGCAGCUUUCGACUACGACAGCAGAGCCUGGCUGGCCACGUAGCGGCGGCAAGACAUUCGGCGCAAGAUCUCGAGAGAUCAACGAAUGGACGAGCUUGAAACCAGAUGAGCGCCGCCGCUUUACAUGCCUCACAGCCAAAUAGAAAAAUUGAUUAAAGCAGACAGCAAGGGGUGAUAAAAUAGAAACCUGUGUUCUGUCUGCAAUAGAUAAUGGCGUCACUUCAAGGCGCCCAUCACCAUUAAUGGCGGGGCGGGGGCAAGUUCAUAGCUCCGACAUUGACUCUCUCUGUCCCCUGCAUGCCAUGUCUACAGAGAAACCCACGUUCCCAAGAAAGAUUCCCGCCCGUCGCCGUUGAGCAUCGCUCGGGGGGCGGAAGCAACUCUGCGCAGGCAUUCUGAGGGAGAUCGGCGGCGGAUGGAGGCGGCGAGAGUUGGAACAGUGAGGGGAAGAUGAUUUAUUUCUUUCUUUCUUCUAAGCGGGCGUUUACUGCCGCCUGUCGCCGGCGGAGGGCUAU
RNAcentral lists this long non-coding RNA (734 nucleotides) under Spirodela polyrhiza (greater duckweed). RNAcentral describes it as "long non-coding RNA (SPOL_LNC001547)". The record is from RNAcentral. Lineage: Eukaryota; Viridiplantae; Streptophyta; Magnoliopsida; Alismatales; Araceae.